This 146-nucleotide ribosomal RNA is filed under the name Cronobacter turicensis 564. Its description in RNAcentral is "Large Subunit Ribosomal RNA; lsuRNA; LSU rRNA". It matches the Rfam family "Bacterial large subunit ribosomal RNA", at positions 1366 to 1516 of the family's 2925-position model. Lineage: Bacteria; Pseudomonadati; Pseudomonadota; Gammaproteobacteria; Enterobacterales; Enterobacteriaceae. The record is from RNAcentral.
UAAUCGGGGCAGGGUGAGUCGACCCCUAAGGCGAGGCCGAAAGGCGUAGUCGAUGGGAAACAGGUUAAUAUUCCUGUACUUGGUGUUACUGCGAAGGGGGGACGGAGAAGGCUAUGUUAGCCGGGCGACGGUUGUCCCGGUUUAAG